This 253-nucleotide ribosomal RNA is filed under the name uncultured bacterium. Its description in RNAcentral is "partial 16S ribosomal RNA". It matches the Rfam family "Bacterial small subunit ribosomal RNA", at positions 524 to 776 of the family's 1533-position model. The record is from RNAcentral.
CACGUAGGAGACGAGCGUUAUCCGGAGUUACUGGGCGUAAAGGGCGUGUAGGCGGUUAGUUAAGUCUGGCGUGAAAGCUCUCGGCUAAACCGGGAGAGGUCGUUGGAUACUGGCAAACUAGAGGACGGUAGAGGCGUGUGGAAUUCCGGGUGUAGUGGUGAAAUGCGUAGAGAUCCGGAGGAACACCAGUGGCGAAGGCGACACGCUGGGCCGUACCUGACGCUAAAGCGCGACAGCAUGGGGAGCAAACGGG